Molecule: ribosomal RNA, 461 nt
Filed under: uncultured bacterium
Lineage: Bacteria
Description: bacterial SSU rRNA
Rfam family: Bacterial small subunit ribosomal RNA
Source: RNAcentral
GACGAACGCUGGCGGCGUGCCUAACACAUGCAAGUCGAACGGGGUUGUUCCUUCGGGGACAACUUAGUGGCGAACGGGUGAGUAACGCGUGAGAAACCUGCCUCUCAGUGGGGGACAACAGUUGGAAACGACUGCUAAUACCGCAUAACACUUUAGUACCGCAUGGUGCAGAAGUCAAAGCUUUAUGUGCUGAGAGAUGGUCUCGCGUCUGAUUAGCUAGUUGGUGAGGUAACGGCUCACCAAGGCGACGAUCAGUAGCCGGCCUGAGAGGGUGAACGGCCACAUUGGGACUGAGACACGGCCCAAACUCCUACGGGAGGCAGCAGUGGGGAAUAUUGCACAAUGGGGGAAACCCUGAUGCAGCGACGCCGCGUGAGUGAAGAAGUAUUUCGGUAUGUAAAGCUCUAUCAGCAAGGAAGAAAAUGACGGUACUUGACUAAGAAGCCCCGGCUAACUACGUG